RNAcentral lists this non-coding RNA (45 nucleotides) under Schistosoma haematobium. Lineage: Eukaryota; Metazoa; Platyhelminthes; Trematoda; Strigeidida; Schistosomatidae. The record is from RNAcentral.
AUCCAGCUGAUGAGUUCCAAAUAGGACGAAACGUGCGUCUUGGAU